This 221-nucleotide unclassified non-coding RNA is filed under the name Basidiomycota sp. RNAcentral describes it as "partial contains small subunit ribosomal RNA, internal transcribed spacer 1, and 5.8S ribosomal RNA". The stretch from base 1 to 47 matches the Rfam family "Eukaryotic small subunit ribosomal RNA", at positions 1785 to 1831 of the family's 1831-position model. The record is from RNAcentral. Lineage: Eukaryota; Fungi; Basidiomycota.
AAAGUCGUAACAAGGUUUUCGUAGGUGAACCUGCGGAAGGAUCAUUAAUGAAUCUCGGGAGUCCCUCUUAAUCGGAGAAGGCCCGCAAUCAUUAUUUCACACACUUGUGCAUUUGUCCCACCCUUAAUACGUUUUUAACGCUUAUGCAUUUGAAACAGUCGUUGGUCAUACAAACAUGAUAAAUGAAAGAAAAACUUUCAGCAAUGGAUCUCUUGGCUCUC